CUAUACAUGACUCUGCGCAUAUCAAUAAGCGGAGGAAAAGAAACUAACAAGGAUUCCCUUAGUAACGGCGAGUGAAGCGGGAAGAGCUCAAAUUUGAAAUCUUCAAGGAUUUACCUUGACGAAUUGUAGUUUAAAGAAGUGUUUUCUGUUGAAGUUUUGGUAAAAGUUCUUUGGAAUAGGACAUCAUAGAGGGUGAGAAUCCCGUAUUUGACCAUUAUUUCCAGCCUUGUGAUACACUUUCAAAGAGUCGGAUUGUUUGGGAAUGCAGUCCAAAGUGGGUGGUAAAUUUCAUCUAAAGCUAAAUAUUGGCGAGAGACCGAUAGCGAACAAGUACCGUGAGGGAAAGAUGAAAAGAACUUUGAAAGAGAGUUAAACAGUACGUGAAAUUGUCAAAAGGGAAGCGUUUGACACCAGUGUUGUUUAGUUGAAAAUCAAUUCAAAUAGGGAUUUUGAUCCUAGUAGUAUUGACUUCAUCAGCUUUCUGCACUUUCUUCUCAGUAUUAUUUAAUGCACUUUUCAGUUAACAAGUCAACAUCAAUUUCUUUUGUUGUAAAAGGGUAUGAGGAAGGUGGCUUUCUCUUCGGCGCAAGUGUUUAUAGCCUUGUAGCUCUGCAAUCGGAGAGAUUGAGGUCUGCAGCGUAGAUCCUUCGGGGUUAGAUACAUUUGUGCUAAGCUAUAGUUCUUUCAUAGACAACUUGUUGACUAUAGUCUAGUCCUGUAGCUUACUCGCUUAUGCUAUUUUACCUACGCUUAGGAUGUUGACACACGCGCGUGCUCG
This 778-nucleotide ribosomal RNA is filed under the name uncultured Neocallimastigales. RNAcentral describes it as "partial large subunit ribosomal RNA". It matches the Rfam family "Eukaryotic large subunit ribosomal RNA", at positions 22 to 643 of the family's 3401-position model. Lineage: Eukaryota; Fungi; Neocallimastigomycota; Neocallimastigomycetes; Neocallimastigales. The record is from RNAcentral.